ACUUUUACCGAAGGCCUUCCAUGUGUCUAACUGCAGUUCUCUCUGUUGCAAGUUAAGCCGGAACUGAAAGACCAGAAACCAGCCUGCCCUAGUCAAAGAAAGUUAGGGCCCAACCAGCCUCUCCCCAAGAAGCAGGGUAAGGUGGGGCAUUCAUCUCUCUGGACCCUUUUCCCCAGCCUGAGCCAGCCUUUGGGUGAGUUUCCUGCUAUUGGGAAAAUUCCUCCUCCAGUCUAACUAUGAUCACUUACAGUGAAGUUCAUUUCUGCCUCUCAGGGUCUCCCAUUUCUCUGGAGAAACCAGAAGCACAGAGAGGCCUGGGACAGAGCCUUCGGUUAGCAGGGUCCUGCCUGAUUCUGGCCCCAAAGGGCGUGGGAGAAGAAGGGAGGGAGGGGAGACCCAACCCAGAUCCAGCAGUUCUCUGCCCUGGCUCAGCAGUGGGGCCAGGCUGCAGGUUUCAAGCCCAACUCAGCACUCUUGUAGGUGCCAAUUUUAGCCUCUGCCACUAUUUUUGGGCUCCACUACCUCACCACUGGCUGAGCUGGUUGGGCUCCUCACCCCCAGCACUACCCCCACACUGCCCCUCCGGCUUCCCCUCCUUCCUAGCAACUCCUUCACCUCCUUCUUCACCCAUUCCCCUGUUUAGAAUCCUUAAAUAGCAAAGACCAGGAAAAAGGAAGAGGAAAUAAACCGUGCCCAGUUCAGGCUGGAUGGACAUUAGAAAGCAGGAAGGACUUCCCCAGGGCCACAGCUUGUUCUUCCUGGCUUGCACCUGCCAAGUAUACCUACGGGGAGGGUGUAGGAACUCCCCCAAACCAAGAGGCCUGAGGCUCCUGGCCCCAGAACUCCAGACUCACCUCCCCUGAGGUGGGCAGCCAAGACUCAGGAAUGUACUAAAUUUAAAAACAGACAGCCAGAGGCUAGAAUCUUGGCCUCAAGGUUCCACCCACUGGAGGCCCAGAGACAAGAUCUGGGGUGGGACCUCAGCUUCUCUCCCAGGCCUGGGGCAGGAGGGUGCUGCAAGCUAUGGAUAGAAUCUUAAAGGGCCACACUCCAGCCUGGGUACCCAGGAAACAUAGAAUUUGAACCCUGGGGUUUUUCAAGCGACCUCAUGGUCCCUCAACUCAACUAAGAAGGUCUCUAUGAAAGAAGAGGACCCGACCCUCCAACUCUUUUCUGUCUCCCACCCCAACCUUCAGUCUACUUUCCAUCCCACCUGCUGUUACCCUACCCCUCACCCUAUGCCCUCUUCUUCCCCUUAGGAGAUGAAUAACAAGGAAAGGGACUAGGGACAGGGAAAAGAAAAGUGUUCUGCCUUUAAAAACACCUGUGUUUAGUGAGCUUGGCCUGCAGCUUGACUCAGUUUCCGUUUUCUAUAUCCUCUUGAACAAUGAACACUUUUCCCUUCUCCUUGGUGUCACCUGCCCCCCUUUUCCAAGACCCUUCUUCAUUCCAGCGCCCCCUCUACUCCUAUCCAGUGAUAUCUUCCAGAUUUUCAGAAAUAAUUUUUUAGAUACACAGAAACAAACAUUUCUACCAGGAUCUAAAAAUAGCCAUCACCUUCUUUAGCCCAUUUAACUUGACGAAAUGUGUCCCUCCCAUUUCAGGGGUAGGGAGGAGGUCCCAGGGAAGAACCUGGUUGCCAAAGUCUCGGCCAGUUGGAGAAGAGAUGGGUCUCCCGAGGAUACCCAAGCCCAAGCUCUACACUGUCCCAAGGUGGUUUGUUUUUCUUCUUUCUUCUAUUGGUCUGGACCUUGUAUAUUCUGGGAGGAGGUGAUUAAGGCCAAAUUGCCUUAAGUGGCCAUCCAGCCAGAAGCUGGAAGAAGGGAAGGAUGAGAGGGAAUGAACUGUUGUGUUACGGCUAUUGAGAGAAACAGUGGCAAUACACAGCCAAAGCCCUGAGUUUCUAAUACGGCGCCACCUCUUAUGAGCUGUGAGAUCUUGGGCAAAGUAACUAACCUUUAAGUAUUUGUCUGUAGAAUUGAGAUUGAAAUACUUAUCUUUGCCAGAAUUGUUAUAAGAAUUAAAUGAGUUGAAAGUGUUUCAUCAAGUGUGCAAUGCUACUCAAGUAGGAGGGACUAAGCUACUUCCUUCUCUCACUGCUUGACUGAGCUUCUCUCCAGCCCCACCCCCUGAUGUUUACUGCUUAUGGAGAAAGAGAUUAAGUGAAGCAGGCCCACACAUUCAUGAAGGUGGAAGGAAGAUGUAGCAGGAGAUGGUGGAGAGGGAAACAGAGGAAGACAGGAUGACAGACGUGGGGAGGAAAGGCUGAGCGAGGCAAUGUCCUGACUCACUCUGGCGCUUCCCUCUUUCCCAUCUGGGCUCCAGAGUCUCUGCCCUCAUUCCCCUUCACCAGGUUGCUCAACCCUCCAUCAGACUGUUAGGUCAAGGGUGGACAAACAGACCAACCGGGAUCUGGAUGGCCCCUGGGCAGUACUGACUUCCCCUACCAUUCCCAUGGCAAGAAAAGGGAGUGAUUCCACUAGCAGACUCCCCUACCCUGCAGUGAGACAGCCUGUAGGAAGGUGAGACUCAGACCCCAAGGUUUCUGCUUUUGCUUUGUUCCUUCGAGAUCUCCAUUCCCCCAUGGGAGAGAAACCUCUCUGUCCCACCUGCCCUCCCCUCCCAUCAGCUUUCAGAUUCUCCAGCUGCUCCUCUUCUGAGACUCACCCAGUCUCAUGCCUCCAUUAGCCUCAACUCCCGACCCAUGGCCUGUGGUGAGAGGUGCUAACAACAUGACCUGCUUUCAUCUUGACCUUCCCAGCCCACCCAGAGAAAAGGGAAUCUUGGCUAAAAAAAGGCUGGAAGAGGGGAGAACCCUGGCACUGCGGGUGGGGCUGGGAGGAGCCCAGGCAACCUUACUGGUGAGAAUCUCAUGGCUCUUCAAGGUGAAUAUGAUGAUGAUUUCCCUGGGGUUUCUUUCAAUACUCAGAAGCCGCCCCGAGUUGGAAAGCACAUGCAUACUUGGGGAGGCCAGGGGAGGAAAAGGGGGGCGGCUCACUCUGACAGUAAAUGAAGAAAGUGGAAACAAAUUCAAGGAGCAGGCAGAGCUCCCGGUUUCACCAGAGCCCAACGGUUGGUAAUAAGGAUGAGAACAAUGUGCCUUCACUUCCUGGGAUCAGAACAGCACAUGGCCGCACAUGUACGGGUAUGCAUGUGCUUCCAUAAUCAUAUACUUUCCCAGCUUCUACUCUGCCUGUGGUCUAAUUUCAACUCCUUCAGCUGCUGUACCCACCCAUAAAAUUAUGAGUGUAAAAGCACUUUGCAAACCCUGAUACUCUAUGAAGAAGUAAAAAGUAGUGCUGUAAUUAUUAUCAUUAUUAUGUCCAAUGGUUGAGGUUUCCGCUGCCCACCUGUCAGCUAUGUGAGGCCUAAAGAGAGGGAGGGCUAGGCCAUUCCUCAGCUUCUGAGGUUCCUGGCCCUUUUCCCCUUCCAUCUGUCCACAGCUGACUGCUAAGCUGGAUGCGUAGGGGAAAGCAGAGAAAAGGUGAUUUACUGGGACACAGAGACACAGGCUGGAAGAGAUAGCAUGUGUUUCCUUAAAAUUUGAAGCAUUUGGCUGGGCACAGUGGCUCACACCUGUAAUCCCUGCACUUUGGGAGGUAAAGGCAAGAGGAUUUCCUGGGCCCAAGAGUUAGAGGCUGCAGUGAGCUAUGAUUGUGCCAUUGUACUCCAGCCUGGGAGACAGAAACCCCCUCUCUUAAAAAAAUAAAAAAAUAAAAAAUGGAACCAUUGCUCUGAGUUUCUAAUAGGGGGAGU
Molecule: long non-coding RNA, 3756 nt
Filed under: Homo sapiens (human)
Lineage: Eukaryota; Metazoa; Chordata; Mammalia; Primates; Hominidae
Description: non-protein coding lnc-RXFP4-2:10
Source: RNAcentral